RNAcentral lists this transfer RNA (78 nucleotides) under Sphaerobacter sp. RNAcentral's name for it is "tRNA-His". It matches the Rfam family "tRNA". Rfam says of the family: Transfer RNA (tRNA) molecules are approximately 80 nucleotides in length. Their secondary structure includes four short double-helical elements and three loops (D, anti-codon, and T loops). Lineage: Bacteria; Pseudomonadati; Thermomicrobiota; Thermomicrobia; Sphaerobacterales; Sphaerobacteraceae. The record is from RNAcentral.
GGUGCCUCUAGCUCAAUUGGCAGAGCACUGGUCUGUGGAACCAGGGGUUACGGGUUCAAGCCCCGUGAGGCACCCCCA